Molecule: ribosomal RNA, 732 nt
Filed under: Triticum aestivum (bread wheat)
Lineage: Eukaryota; Viridiplantae; Streptophyta; Magnoliopsida; Poales; Poaceae
Description: partial small subunit ribosomal RNA
Source: RNAcentral
AUGAAGGCACGGCGGUUCUUGAACGUGCUGACGGACAAAUACAGCGGCCCCGACGCGCUCUACGUCAUGGACCGCAAGGGCCACAGCUUCGAGGCCUUCGUCUACGGCGACCCCGACCCGCCGCCGCCAAGCAGGUUCAUGGAUGAGUGGUACCGCGACCGCGCUCAUAGGGACAGGUGCGUGUGGCACUGGCGCGACCUCCCUCCGCCGCCCAUUGUCGUCGACGAGGGCGACAACUACUACCACGAUCUCACCCCCCUCAGCGGCACCUACUGCUUCAACACGAGAACCGGCGAGUGGACCAAGGCCGGCGACUGGAAGCUGCCAUUCUGGUCCCGCGCCCUGCACGUCCCCGAGCUCGGUAGCGACCUCCUGUUCGGCUUCGAGAAUACAUACUUCCACAUACACUCAUGCUUCAGCGCCGUGGACGUCUCCGGCGCUAGGAGGAUGGACGGGUCGGCCCCGGCGCUGCGCCAUGCGUGGGUCAAAAUCGACCCACCAUCGGGAUGGCACGAGCAGGACCGCAGCAUGGUGUAUCUCGGGGAUGGCAAGUUCUGCAUCCACAGGAGCUUCGACAUCAUGGAAACGUACGGAUGGAGCAGUGGUCAUGAGGAGCGUGUCGACACGGUGGUCCUGCUCACCGGCGUGGAGGUGGUGCGAGAAGGAUCCAGACUCCGGAUGGUCAAGCACAAGUCCAAACGUCUCGACACCUACAUAGCCUCUAUCCUCUAA